This 91-nucleotide non-coding RNA is filed under the name Thraustochytrium sp. LLF1b. The record is from RNAcentral. Lineage: Eukaryota; Bigyra; Thraustochytrida; Thraustochytriidae.
AAGGUGGUUUGUGUAAUUUAAUGCAGAGAUAUUGAAGACUCAAAAACAAUAGCUAACCUGUCUGCGAACUGGAUUGUACAGCAAACACCUG